GAGCCUCUUGCAUUGCCCACAAAGGAAGCAGAGAUUGAGGGGAGAAGAACUGGAGAAAUUAAAAAAGUGGAAAGAGACAGCAACACAAAUAAAGAGGUGGGUAAUAAUAUUGUACAUCUAAAAGCCUGGGGAGUGUGUCAUAAACAAAUGGGCUGCAAUGGUCAGUAGGCAAUUAUAUCCUGUUGCCUCAUUUAAAAUGCUGACUAAUUACAUAGAGCAAGAGGAAAUUAGCACAGGAACCUUAUUCUUUGCCAAGUCCACAUCAAAAUGCUGUAAAUGAAAAACAUGAAAUCAAUCUUCCAUGGCUUUAAAGAACUCAUAGUUCUUGAAGUUUAAACAUCUGCACAAAGUCCUCCAAAGUAUAAGACAACUUAAUGGAUAUUCAAAUCUCAGAAAUUAGACUUGUAAAAAAGCUCUCAGAACCCCUAAGGCUCUCACCUUUUUGUGAUCUGAACAGUCAGUUUAACAUUUUUUUUCUUUAAUCUGAUAUUAUUGUUUAAAUCCCUAAGUCUCAUUCUAUUUGCUUUAUGUCAGAUAAUAAUUUGCUUAUGUGGAUAAGUAUCUUCUUGGAAAGAAUUGUCUCCUGAAAUUUCUCUUGGGAUUAUGUUUGGCAUGUUCCAGGAUUCAACUGAGUUCUUGAAGUUCCCAUUCAAAGAGGUGCUGGGAAAUAGCAGAGCUGCAUUUUGUUUUUUAAACAACUUUUUCUGAAUAUAGAAUUUUUGAAAAUUGAAUCACUUUCUUCUAUUGAUAUAUAGCUUAAAGAUUUGUCACCACUAAAAAGAAAAUCAGUUCCCAAAAUAACUUAAAGACGUGUAAAUAGGCAUACAACUAAAAAAUCUUUAGUAAAUGUACCAAACCUUUGUUAAAAUACUCUAAAAUAUGUGUAAGCAUGAAAUAGUGGAGACAGUCAGGAAGCCAAACCUACAGUGUGAUCUUUAGCAGUGAGGUGGCCUGGGAA
RNAcentral lists this long non-coding RNA (958 nucleotides) under Homo sapiens (human). RNAcentral describes it as "non-protein coding lnc-FAM172A-3:7". The record is from RNAcentral. Lineage: Eukaryota; Metazoa; Chordata; Mammalia; Primates; Hominidae.